This 90-nucleotide transfer RNA is filed under the name Pseudomonadota bacterium. RNAcentral describes it as "tRNA-Tyr". It matches the Rfam family "tRNA". From Rfam's summary of the family: Transfer RNA (tRNA) molecules are approximately 80 nucleotides in length. The record is from RNAcentral. Lineage: Bacteria; Pseudomonadati; Pseudomonadota. RNAcentral also lists the same sequence under 5 other names.
GGCGGGGUGGGUGAGCGGCUAAAACCACCUGGCUGUAAACCAGGCGCCCUGAGAUGGGCUACGCAGGUUCGAAUCCUGCCCCCGCCACCA